AAAGGAAUAGACGGGGACCCGCACAAGCGGUGGAGCAUGUGGUUUAAUUCGAAGCAACGCGAAGAACCUUACCAAGUCUUGACAUCCCGGUGACAGACAUAGAGAUAUGUCCUCUCUUCGGAGCACCGGAGACAGGUGGUGCAUGGUUGUCGUCAGCUCGUGUCGUGAGAUGUUGGGUUAAGUCCCGCAACGAGCGCAACCCUUAUGCUUAGUAGCCAGCGGUCCGGCCGGGCACUCUAGGCAGACUGCCAGGAAUAACCUGGAGGAAGGCGGGGAUGACGUCAAAUCAUCAUGCCCCUUAUGACUUGGGCUACACACGUGCUACAAUGGCGCUGACAAAGGGAAGCAAACCCGCGAGGGGGAGCAAAUCCAGAAACAGCGUCCCAGUUCGGACUGUAGUCUGCAACCCGACUAUACGAAGCUGGAAUCGCUAGUAAUCGCAGAUCAGAAUGCUGCGGUGAAUACGUUCCCGGGUCUUGUACACACCGCCCGU
RNAcentral lists this ribosomal RNA (493 nucleotides) under uncultured bacterium. RNAcentral describes it as "bacterial SSU rRNA". It matches the Rfam family "Bacterial small subunit ribosomal RNA", at positions 903 to 1397 of the family's 1533-position model. The record is from RNAcentral.